GAUGAACGCUGGCGGCGUGCCUAAUACAUGCAAGUCGAGCGACCGGACGAGAAGCUUGCUUCUCUGAUGUUAGCGGCGGACGGGUGAGUAACACGUGGAUAACCUACCUAUAAGACUGGGAUAACUUCGGGAAACCGGAGCUAAUACCGGAUAAUAUUUUGAACCGCAUGGUUCAAAAGUGAAAGACGGUCUUGCUGUCACUUAUAGAUGGAUCCGCGCUGCAUUAGCUAGUUGGUAAGGUAACGGCUUACCAAGGCAACGAUGCAUAGCCGACCUGAGAGGGUGAUCGGCCACACUGGAACUGAGACACGGUCCAGACUCCUACGGGAGGCAGCAGUAGGGAAUCUUCCGCAAAGGGCGAAAGCCUGACGGAGCAACGCCGCGUGAGUGAUGAAGGUCUUCGGAUCGUAAAACUCUGUUAUUAGGGAAGAACAUAUGUGUAAGUAACUGUGCACAUCUUGACGGUACCUAAUCAGAAAGCCACGGCUAACUACGUG
Molecule: ribosomal RNA, 497 nt
Filed under: uncultured bacterium
Lineage: Bacteria
Description: partial 16S ribosomal RNA
Rfam family: Bacterial small subunit ribosomal RNA
Source: RNAcentral